Molecule: ribosomal RNA, 253 nt
Filed under: uncultured bacterium
Lineage: Bacteria
Description: partial 16S ribosomal RNA
Rfam family: Bacterial small subunit ribosomal RNA
Source: RNAcentral
UACAGAGGUCCCAAGCGUUGUUCGGAUUCACUGGGCGUAAAGGGUGCGUAGGUGGCCGGGAAAGUUCGAUGUGAAAGCUCGGAGCUCAACUCCGAAAUGGCAUUGAAUACUAUUCGGCUUGAGGGUCGGAGGGGAGACUGGAAUUCUCGGUGUAGCAGUGAAAUGCGUAGAUAUCGAGAGGAACACCAGUGGCGAAGGCGGCCUUCUGGACCAAUACUGACGCUCAUGCACGAAAGCGUGGGGAGCAAACAGG